Molecule: RNA transcript, 1351 nt
Organism: Neltuma alba
Lineage: Eukaryota; Viridiplantae; Streptophyta; Magnoliopsida; Fabales; Fabaceae
Gene name: prolyl-tRNA synthetase associated domain-containing protein 1
Exons: 12
Source: RefSeq, a predicted model, not a curated record
GCAGUCGGCACUUCUGCUGUUAUCGCGUUCGAAGACAAUCACUGAAUCGUCUCCUAUCAGUCGACUCAGAGCUCUACCCCUGACCUGAAACGCCUCAGCUUUCGUUGGUCAUGGGUUAUUCGAAGGAACAGCUGCUUGCCCGCUUACAGGAGCUUCAGAUUGAGUUUUCCAAGUAUGAACAUCCAGUUGUUUUGACAGUUGAGGCUCAGGCCAAAUAUGUUGGAAACAAGGGGGGAGGGCUAAGUAAAAACUUAUUCUUGAAGGACAAGAAGCAAAGGUUUUAUAUUGUUUCUGCUCUAGCAGAUACCAAAGUAGAUUUGAAAGUGUUAUCUCAGCGGCUCGGUUUGGGGAAAGGAGGUCUGAGAAUGGCGCCUGAAGAGGCUUUAGGUGAAAUACUUAAGGUGCCCUUGGGUUGCGUCACGCCAUUUGCGUUAGUGAAUGAAUCAGCACGAGAUGUCUCGCUUUUAUUGGAUCAACGGUUGAAGGCGCAGCAGCACUGCUUCUUCCACCCUCUAUCAAAUGACAUGUCCAUAUCUUUAAAUGCUCAUGGUCUUGAUAAAUUUCUUACAUCAAUAGGAAGAAAUCCCUCGUAUAUUGAUUUGGAGGCCAAUCCAACUGUGGGAAAAGAUCAACCCCCUGAUCUGGCUGCACUAGUUCCAUCUGGUUCAAUAGUUGUUCCUGAUCAACCUGAAAAGCAGCCUUCUCCACAAAUUCCUAUAGAUAAAAGUCAUGUUUCUGCUGAUAGUAAACCCACUGUGUUACCAGCAAAAGGUGUCAAGCCAUCCGUUAGUGAGAAAAAUACCAAGGGAAAACCAGUCAACAAUGUUCAUUCACAAAGCUCAUUUGCUGAUGUUGGGCAAUUUGUCGAAGAGAUAUUGCAUAAGACUUCAGAAUUAUUGCUUUCAGAGCUUUAUCAUGCAGAUCAAGGAAGAAUCCAUCAAGCAACAUGGAGAUCAGCUGGCUAGUGUGGUAUCUGACAAUCUACGGAAAGGUCUCCGCUCUGAUCUGAAUAACCUUGUCGUGAUGCUCAAGAACACCGCAUACACAGAAGGGUUCCAUGCCGGCGCUCACCAUCAGCCUAAACGCUUAUGAAGGCAAUGACUACUUAAAGCUAUUUAAGAUUCACGGCGUCAAACUGAAUGGCUUAGAAACUUGUCUAUUUUGUUCGGUGCUGUGUGAUGGUGCGAUACUUAGAUUGAACAAUCAUGGAGGAAAAUAUUUGGUUCUGAAGAGGAGAUAAAUUGAACAAAUUUGGUGAGUAUGGCCCAUGCGCAACAGCGCAAGCAUGUCAUUGUGGUGGCGGUCCAAACACAGCUAAAAUUUAUUACAGGAUCUUUUUAUUUUUGGGUAA